This 707-nucleotide unclassified non-coding RNA is filed under the name Hevea brasiliensis (rubber tree). Lineage: Eukaryota; Viridiplantae; Streptophyta; Magnoliopsida; Malpighiales; Euphorbiaceae. The record is from RNAcentral.
AAGGAUCAGAACAGCACUUUCUUGGCCCAAAACGACAUCGAGACCCUUUUGAUGUCUCCGAGUGGAGUCUGAUUGAGCAAUCACUCUAGAAUGGAAGUAGAUACCUCCAGGGUCAAGUAACUUUGCCAUUUCCAACGCAUAAGGACGUUCGCCCAUUGUAUAAAUGUACAUCUCGAACAAACUACUGGCUUCUUUCAGGAAGGUGUGGACAAAUGGCCUCAGCUUUGUCAUCAUGUGUAUCCAGUCCAAUUUGAAAAGGUUGCUUCUUAAAGCAUCAGGCAGUACUUCUCGUUGGUCCUUCAAGUAUGAUUCUUCUGCAGAAAUAUCUGCAAGUCUAGUUGAGUUCAGAAGUGUGUGGUCUAAAUCUAGAACCAAGAUCAGCUUUCUGUGCCGCAGUAAAUUUUUCAGGUCCUUUUCACGCAAUCGAGCAACUUCAUCAUCUGCAAGCCUCAAAUUCUUGUGUAUGUAUCCAAAAGCAACACCAGAUUCAUCUUCCACCUUCUGCCCACACCGUAUACACAUCCCUCCCAUGACACCGGGAUGAGUGCAUACAUCCAGGGCCAAAGAUGCUCCUGAAGUUUCUGCUGAUUCUCCACGAGACACUAAACUCUGUGGAUCAACUGCAGCUUCAAUCAACUCAAUUUUACGCUUCUUUGACCUUCUCGAAUCUAUGUUGCCAUCAUCACCAUCACCAGUGUCGUUGUCUU